GGACGAACGCUGGCGGCGUGCCUAAUACAUGCAAGUUGAGCGCUGAAGGUUGGUACUUGUACCAACUGGAUGAGCAGCGAACGGGUGAGUAACGCGUGGGGAAUCUGCCUUUGAGCGGGGGACAACAUUUGGAAACGAAUGCUAAUACCGCAUAAAAACUUUAAACACAAGUUUUAAGUUUGAAAGAUGCAAUUGCAUCACUCAAAGAUGAUCCCGCGUUGUAUUAGCUAGUUGGUGAGGUAAAGGCUCACCAAGGCGAUGAUACAUAGCCGACCUGAGAGGGUGAUCGGCCACAUUGGGACUGAGACACGGCCCAAACUCCUACGGGAGGCAGCAGUAGGGAAUCUUCGGCAAUGGACGAAAGUCUGACCGAGCAACGCCGCGGGAGUGAAGAAGGUUUUCGGAUCGUAAAACUCUGUUGGUAGAGAAGAACGUUGGUGAGAGUGGAAAGCUCAUCAAGUGACGGUAACUACCCAGAAAGGGACGGCUAACUACGUG
This 498-nucleotide ribosomal RNA is filed under the name uncultured bacterium. RNAcentral describes it as "partial 16S ribosomal RNA". It matches the Rfam family "Bacterial small subunit ribosomal RNA", at positions 27 to 507 of the family's 1533-position model. The record is from RNAcentral.